Molecule: long non-coding RNA, 1168 nt
Organism: Prosopis cineraria
Lineage: Eukaryota; Viridiplantae; Streptophyta; Magnoliopsida; Fabales; Fabaceae
Exons: 3
Source: RefSeq, a predicted model, not a curated record
CAAAUUCAAUGAAUGUGGUGACCGUUCGGCUUUUCCUAAUUGCCCAAGCAUAUGAUAAAUUAUGCCCUAAGCUUCCCUGUGACAGCAGAGGGAUAGAGUAGCAAGAGAUUGACCCCUUCAUGACCCAAUGUAAGCUUGGCUUCCCUUGCUGCCCUUUCACCCACUUCAUCUUCAACCUCUGUGAUCAAUGGGGCUUUUAUGUCAAUAUUCUUCAUCAUAUGCCAAAUCCAAACAAUUGGAUUAAAGUAUAGGAAUUUGCAAAUGGGUUUGUUGCGUUGAAGAUGAAGAAGCAACUCUGAUCAGAAAAUGGAGCCAUGGAGGGCUUUAAGUUCCCAUGGUGGCUCUUUCUGCAAGCAAUAAAUGAGAGUUUCUGCAGUUUGCUCACUCUUGCCCGUGCACACCGGAGAGGUCCUUCUUUGGAUUAUUGAGAUGGAGUUCAAGUGCUUGUGCAGGGAUCUCAAAGAUGAUGAACACAUUAAAGAAUCUCAUAGGCAAAGUCAAGAAAUAAUUCCUAUUGUUCAAGUGUAUCUUGACAUGUACUCAAUCGGAUACUUCUUGCUUCUUAGUGCAUCUCGGUGCUGCUUUUAUCUGUGGAAGUAUUUUGUGCCUAACAAUCAGAAAAGUUCCUGUUGAGCAAUACAAGAGUUGAUGCAAAUAACAAGGAACUGUCAGUUCAGAGGAUGCGAGAUUCCUCUUGCACAAAAACUUUUGUUUCCCAUAUAUGAUACGAAGCCACUCAAUAUUACUGUGAGAAAUGAGAUUUCCCUAACGGCAUUUACAGAAGCUCGUCAAUGAUAAUGGAGAUGGUGAAAGCACUGCAACCUCUUCUGCAGAACUAGGGUCACAAGCCAACAGCAGAAUCUGAAGUAACGCAGUAGUUAACACCUGUGAGGGUGCUUCAUAGAGAUCCUACGUUCUCUUAUCACUACUGAAAGAGAGUUCCCCUUGGCAACUUCAAAAUCUGUCUCUUAGAAUUUCUUGUAAGGAGAUAGUGAAACUAUAUUUUAUUUUAGCAUUAAGUCAGAGAAUAUUUCUUUCUGUUAAAGUAGUAGUGCUGAUGAGUUUUUCCUCGUUUCACUUUAAAGAAGAAUGUAAUAGACUCAAGUUUAUGUGAUUGAACUAUAUGCGUUUAAUUUGAUCCGUCCAUAUGACGAGAAAAUUUGCUUAA